This is a long non-coding RNA of Biomphalaria glabrata, 861 nucleotides long. RefSeq lists it as uncharacterized. The transcript has 4 exons. The record is from RefSeq and is a predicted model, not a curated record. Lineage: Eukaryota; Metazoa; Mollusca; Gastropoda; Planorbidae.
UUAUAAACCUUAAUGCACUGAACAAAACGUCUAGCUAUUGGAGCGCACUCUGCUGACGUCAGCAUAGUUACCAUCGUCAUAGCCAUCAGACACCUUGAUACAAGCUGACGUCGAAGUGUGAGGAAUUCAUUCAUCUUAUUAAAGAUAUUGCUACGAGAGCGCCAUUACACCAGUGAGCAAGAGAUCAAGUCUUGUUAGCAUGAGAGCUCUGGGCUGGACUGUAUUCCUGUGUUUCAGCCUCCUGCUGGCUGUGGUCACGUGUCAGGAUGACGAGGAAGACGACGCAGAUGAAGUCGCGGAAUCCAAUGACGCCGCCGUUGAGCCACAAAGAGAAGCGCGAGCUGUAGGCAACUCCAAGUCAUUCAGGAGUAAAAAUCGCCAACGAGGCGGCAAGAAGAAGAGCGGGAAGACCGGCAGACGUAAAACUGGCGGGGGCGGACGAGGCGGCGGACGUCGUGGUUAGGAAUUAUCACGGUUAUGUCCCUUAUCACUGAAUAUUUAUCUCCACUAUCCUAUUGUUGUUAUUUAUGAACCAAUGCUAAACAUUGUUUCAAUGCUCACGUUAUGGUUUAGAAACUAAUGAUUUUAUUCAUCGACGCUUUUGAAAGAAGCAAAUGUAAAAUAUAGUUCUUUUUUUUAAAGUAUGAUAAGGCUCUGUUCCUGGUCCUGAAAUGUAACAAGCUGUGAAUGUUUGGUCUUAUCAUAAUGUUUAAUAUAGUAAGAGCAUACCUUUGACUCUUAACAGUAUCAAGUGCUGCCUUUUCCCAUUGUUUGAAUGUUGGCAGUGCCAGGGCCGCUGCCCAUUUAUGUAGCACUUGUAAUUCUUGAAGGAAAAUUAAAUUUGCUUGAUUAAAAAAAAAA